AGUGAACGCUGGCGGUAGGCCUAACACAUGCAAGUCGAACGGCAGCACAGUAAGAGCUUGCUCUUACGGGUGGCGAGUGGCGGACGGGUGAGGAAUACAUCGGAAUCUACUUUUUCGUGGGGGAUAACGUAGGGAAACUUACGCUAAUACCGCAUACGACCUACGGGUGAAAGCAGGGGAUCUUCGGACCUUGCGCGAUUGAAUGAGCCGAUGUCGGCUUAGCUAGUUGGCGGGGUAAAGGCCCACCAAGGCGACGAUCCGUAGCUGGUCUGAGAGGAUGAUCAGCCACACUGGAACUGAGACACGGUCCAGACUCCUACGGGAGGCAGCAGUGGGGAAUAUUGGACAAUGGGCGCAAGCCUGAUCCAGCCAUACCGCGUGGGUGAAGAAGGCCUUCGGGUUGUAAAGCCCUUUUGUUGGGAAAGAAAAGCAGCAGGUUAAUACCCCGCUGUUCUGACGGUACCCAAAGAAUAAGCACCGGCUAGCUUCGUG
This 492-nucleotide ribosomal RNA is filed under the name uncultured bacterium. RNAcentral's name for it is "partial 16S ribosomal RNA". It matches the Rfam family "Bacterial small subunit ribosomal RNA", at positions 29 to 507 of the family's 1533-position model. The record is from RNAcentral.